Molecule: ribosomal RNA, 253 nt
Filed under: uncultured bacterium
Lineage: Bacteria
Description: partial 16S ribosomal RNA
Rfam family: Bacterial small subunit ribosomal RNA
Source: RNAcentral
UACGGAGGGUGCAAGCGUUAUCCGGAUUCACUGGGCUUAAAGGGUGCGUAGGCGGGCAGGUAAGUCAGUGGUGAAAUCUUUGGGCUUAACCCGAAAACUGCCAUUGAUACUAUCUGUCUUGAAUCCCGUGGAGGUGAGCGGAAUAUGUCAUGUAGCGGUGAAAUGCUUAGAUAUGACAUAGAACACCAAUUGCGAAGGCAGCUCGCUACACGAAGAUUGACUCUGAGGCACGAAAGCGUGGGGAUCAAACAGG